Orbilia javanica is the source of this 102-nucleotide non-coding RNA. Lineage: Eukaryota; Fungi; Ascomycota; Orbiliomycetes; Orbiliales; Orbiliaceae. The record is from the annotation of a GenBank genome assembly.
UCCGAUAUGGUGUAGUGGUUAACAUCGUCCGCUUUCAAUAACUGGCUUCAUAACUGGUUAAGAUGGUCCGGACAGCCCCGGGUUCGAUUCCCGGUAUCGGAA